GAUGAACGCUGGCGGCGUGCCUAAUACAUGCAAGUCGAGCGAACAGACGAGGAGCUUGCUCCUCUGACGUUAGCGGCGGACGGGUGAGUAACACGUGGAUAACCUACCUAUAAGACUGGGAUAACUUCGGGAAACCGGAGCUAAUACCGGAUAAUAUAUUGAACCGCAUGGUUCAAUAGUGAAAGACGGUUUUGCUGUCACUUAUAGAUGGAUCCGCGCCGCAUUAGCUAGUUGGUAAGGUAACGGCUUACCAAGGCAACGAUGCGUAGCCGACCUGAGAGGGUGAUCGGCCACACUGGAACUGAGACACGGUCCAGACUCCUACGGGAGGCAGCAGUAGGGAAUCUUCCGAAUGGGCGAAAGCCUGACGGAGCAACGCCGCGUGAGUGAUGAAGGUCUUCGGAUCGUAAAACUCUGUUAUUAGGGAAGAACAAAUGUGUAAGUAACUAUGCACGUCUUGACGGUACCUAAUCAGAAAGCCACGGCUAACUACGUG
This 496-nucleotide ribosomal RNA is filed under the name uncultured bacterium. RNAcentral describes it as "partial 16S ribosomal RNA". It matches the Rfam family "Bacterial small subunit ribosomal RNA", at positions 28 to 507 of the family's 1533-position model. The record is from RNAcentral.